UACGAAGGGGGCUAGCGUUGCUCGGAAUCACUGGGCGUAAAGCGCACGUAGGCGGUGCGGUAAGUCCGCAGUGAAAUCUCUGGGCUCAACUCAGAGUCUGCUGUGGAAACUGCCGUGCUUGAGUGUGGGAGAGGUGAGUGGAAUUCCCGGUGUAGCGGUGAAAUGCGUAGAGAUCCGGAGGAACACCAAAGGCGAAGGCAGUGUCUUGGGGAGUACCUGACGCUCAGGUGCGAAAGCCAGGGGAGCGAACGGG
This 253-nucleotide ribosomal RNA is filed under the name uncultured bacterium. RNAcentral describes it as "partial 16S ribosomal RNA". It matches the Rfam family "Bacterial small subunit ribosomal RNA", at positions 524 to 776 of the family's 1533-position model. The record is from RNAcentral.